This is a small RNA of Sphingobium sp. TKS, 53 nucleotides long. It matches the Rfam family "ffh sRNA". The record is from Rfam. Lineage: Bacteria; Pseudomonadati; Pseudomonadota; Alphaproteobacteria; Sphingomonadales; Sphingobiaceae.
GGGGCACCGGAUGGACGCUGGCCGGCGAGGAUUCGCCCGCCGGCGAUUUUGUC